Molecule: long non-coding RNA, 544 nt
Organism: Rhea pennata
Lineage: Eukaryota; Metazoa; Chordata; Aves; Rheiformes; Rheidae
Exons: 2
Source: RefSeq, a predicted model, not a curated record
CCCACCGCCCUCCUAUGGCCCGGCCGCGCCGCGCCCACCGGGGGUGGACGAGGGAGCACGGGGGGCCGGGCCCCCCGGGGCGCGACGGGCCAAGGAACCGAGCUCCGCCGGGUCGGGCCGCACCGGGGUUCGGUCUCUGGAAUACUCUCCAAAUACUCCAAGGCACGGACCUCAAAAAGACCUGAAGAAGAAGAAUAUCACUCAACCACUCCCAUUUCUUAGUAUGUGGUAUCUCAAAUCAUUAAUGAGGUUAUGAAAAAAAAAUUUGUGCCUGUAAUACCAGCUGCAGGAUCAAGCCUAAAGAGGAGACAGAUACACAGAAAUUCUUUGCUUAAGAAGAUGCAUUCCACUGAGUCACUAGAAGGCACGAAGCUAUUGCCAUUGCAUUUAUGCCGUAUCUGCAUUACAUUUGUUAAGGUGCCAACAGGGUAACCUGUCAGGACAAAAGGCUCCUUAAGAGUCAAAAUGAUGUACCAUUAUACUCUGAAAGUCACUUUGUAAAACAAGAAAUUAAUAUUAAACCUUACCUUUGACCAUGCUCUUA